UAGGGAAUCUUCGGCAAUGGACGAAAGUCUGACCGAGCAACGCCGCGUGAGUGAAGAAGGAUUUCGGAUCGUAAAACUCUGUUGUUAGAGAAGAACAAGGACGUUAGUAACUGAACGUCCCCUGACGGUAUCUAACCAGAAAGCCACGGCUAACUACGUGCCAGCAGCCGCGGUAAUACGUAGGUGGCAAGCGUUGUCCGGAUUUAUUGGGCGUAAAGCGAGCGCAGGCGGUUUCUUAAGUCUGAUGUGAAAGCCCCCGGCUCAACCGGGGAGGGUCAUUGGAGACUAGGAGACUUGAGUGCAGAAGAGGAGAGUGGAAUUCCAUGUGUAGCAGUGGAAUGCGUAGGUAUAUGGAGGAACACCGGUGGCGAAGGCGGCUCUCUGGUCUGUAACUGACGCUGAGGCUCGAAAGCGUGGGGAGCAAACAGG
RNAcentral lists this ribosomal RNA (429 nucleotides) under Gemmatimonadota bacterium. Its description in RNAcentral is "Gemmatimonadetes bacterium partial 16S ribosomal RNA". It matches the Rfam family "Bacterial small subunit ribosomal RNA", at positions 355 to 776 of the family's 1533-position model. Lineage: Bacteria; Pseudomonadati; Gemmatimonadota. The record is from RNAcentral.